GACGAACGCUGGCGGCGUGCUUAACACAUGCAAGUCGAACGAUGAAGCCUUUCGGGGUGGAUUAGUGGCGAACGGGUGAGUAACACGUGGGCAAUCUGCCCUGUACUUUGGGAUAAGCCUUGGAAACGAGGUCUAAUACCGGAUACGAUGAAUCCUCGCAUGGGGGUUUGUUGAAAGUUCUGGCGGUACAGGAUGAGCCCGCGGCCUAUCAGCUUGUUGGUGGGGUAAUGGCCUACCAAGGCGACGACGGGUAGCCGGCCCGAGAGGGCGACCGGCCACACUGGGACUGAGACACGGCCCAGACUCCUACGGGAGGCAGCAGUGGGGAAUAUUGCACAAUGGGCGAAAGCCUGAUGCAGCGACGCGCGU
This 369-nucleotide ribosomal RNA is filed under the name uncultured bacterium. Its description in RNAcentral is "bacterial SSU rRNA". It matches the Rfam family "Bacterial small subunit ribosomal RNA", at positions 28 to 402 of the family's 1533-position model. The record is from RNAcentral.